Molecule: ribosomal RNA, 447 nt
Filed under: uncultured bacterium
Lineage: Bacteria
Description: bacterial SSU rRNA
Rfam family: Bacterial small subunit ribosomal RNA
Source: RNAcentral
CGCCAGACUCCUACGGGAGGCAGCAGUGGGGGAUAUUGCACAAUGGGGGGAACCCUGAUGCAGCGACGCCGCGUGGGUGAAGGAGUGCUUCGGCAUGUAAAGCCCUAUCGGCAGGGAAGAAGCAAGACGGUACCUGACUAAGAAGCCCCGGCUAACUACGUGCCAGCAGCCGCGGGAAUACGUAGGGGGCAAGCGUUAUCCGGAUUCACUGGGUGUAAAGGGAGCGUAGACGGCGACGCAAGUCUGGAGUGAAAGCCCGGGGCCCAACCCCGGGACUGCUCUGGAAACUGCGUCGCUGGAGUACGGGAGGGGCAGGCGGAAUUCCUGGUGUAGCGGUGAAAUGCGUAGAUAUAAGGAAGAACACCAGUGGCGAAGGCGGAUGACUGGACGGCAACUGACGGUGAGGCGCGAAAGCGUGGGUAGCGAACGGGAUUAGAUACCCUAGUA